RNAcentral lists this ribosomal RNA (1503 nucleotides) under Helicobacter pylori. RNAcentral describes it as "bacterial SSU rRNA". It matches the Rfam family "Bacterial small subunit ribosomal RNA". Lineage: Bacteria; Pseudomonadati; Campylobacterota; Epsilonproteobacteria; Campylobacterales; Helicobacteraceae. The record is from RNAcentral.
UUUAUGGAGAGUUUGAUCCUGGCUCAGAGUGAACGCUGGCGGCGUGCCUAAUACAUGCAAGUCGAACGAUGAAGCUUCUAGCUUGCUAGAAGUGGAUUAGUGGCGCACGGGUGAGUAACGCAUAGGUCAUGUGCCUCUUAGUUUGGGAUAGCCAUUGGAAACGAUGAUUAAUACCAGAUACUCCCUACGGGGGAAAGAUUUAUCGCUAAGAGAUCAGCCUAUGUCCUAUCAGCUUGUUGGUAAGGUAAUGGCUUACCAAGGCUAUGACGGGUAUCCGGCCUGAGAGGGUGAACGGACACACUGGAACUGAGACACGGUCCAGACUCCUACGGGAGGCAGCAGUAGGGAAUAUUGCUCAAUGGGGGAAACCCUGAAGCAGCAACGCCGCGUGGAGGAUGAAGGUUUUAGGAUUGUAAACUCCUUUUGUUAGAGAAGAUAAUGACGGUAUCUAACGAAUAAGCACCGGCUAACUCCGUGCCAGCAGCCGCGGUAAUACGGAGGGUGCAAGCGUUACUCGGAAUCACUGGGCGUAAAGAGCGCGUAGGCGGGAUAGUCAGUCAGGUGUGAAAUCCUAUGGCUUAACCAUAGAACUGCAUUUGAAACUACUAUUCUAGAGUGUGGGAGAGGUAGGUGGAAUUCUUGGUGUAGGGGUAAAAUCCGUAGAGAUCAAGAGGAAUACUCAUUGCGAAGGCGACCUGCUGGAACAUUACUGACGCUGAUUGCGCGAAAGCGUGGGGAGCAAACAGGAUUAGAUACCCUGGUAGUCCACGCCCUAAACGAUGGAUGCUAGUUGUUGGAGGGCUUAGUCUCUCCAGUAAUGCAGCUAACGCAUUAAGCAUCCCGCCUGGGGAGUACGGUCGCAAGAUUAAAACUCAAAGGAAUAGACGGGGAUCCGCACAAGCGGUGGAGCAUGUGGUUUAAUUCGAAGAUACACGAAGAACCUUACCUAGGCUUGACAUUGAGAGAAUCCGCUAGAAAUAGUGGAGUGUCUGGCUUGCUAGACCUUGAAAACAGGUGCUGCACGGCUGUCGUCAGCUCGUGUCGUGAGAUGUUGGGUUAAGUCCCGCAACGAGCGCAACCCCCUUUCUUAGUUGCUAACAGGUCAUGCUGAGAACUCUAAGGAUACUGCCUCCGUAAGGAGGAGGAAGGUGGGGACGACGUCAAGUCAUCAUGGCCCUUACGCCUAGGGCUACACACGUGCUACAAUGGGGUGUACAAAGAGAAGCAAUACUGCGAAGUGGAGCCAAUCUUCAAAACGCCUCUCAGUUCGGAUUGUAGGCUGCAACUCGCCUGCAUGAAGCUGGAAUCGCUAGUAAUCGCAAAUCAGCCAUGUUGCGGUGAAUACGUUCCCGGGUCUUGUACUCACCGCCCGUCACACCAUGGGAGUUGUGUUUGCCUUAAGUCAGGAUGCUAAAUUGGCUACUGCCCACGGCACACACAGCGACUGGGGUGAAGUCGUAACAAGGUAACCGUAGGUGAACCUGCGGUUGGAUCACCUCCUUU